AGCGGCUGGCUUACCCUCCUGGGGAGCGACUGCGCCCGGGGUCAUUGGCGCCGCUGCAGUGGCGUCGCCUGGCUCCUGGGACCGCGCCCUGCUGCGCCCCAAGGGAGCCCCCGGCCUCGGGCGGGCCUGCCUCCUCUCCUUAGAGGUCUCAGUAUCUGAAGACACACCCUAGUAGAAAACUAUGAAGAAGUUGGGAGGUGGGGAAGAACUGUAUGCUGAGAGUUUUAGUCUCUGCUGCUGAUUUGUGACAUUGAGGUCUUUGCCAGUUAAAAAAGAACAAAAGAUAAGAAAGAAGAAAAGAAACAGCAUUAAAUGAAGAAGCUAUUGAAUAUGAUAGCAAAAGAAGAUGACCAAAACAAUAGAGGACUAACAUUAUAAUAAAAAGAUAAAAGAAAAAUAUAAAUGCUUUUAUUAAAAGGACAAAAAUUCAUCCCAGCGGGUAUGGCUCUGUGGUGAAGUGUCAACCUAUGAACCAGGAGGUCAUGGUUCAAUUCCUGGUCAGGGCACAUGCCCAGGUUGCAGGCUCUAUCUCCAGUGUGGGGCAUGUAGAAAGCAACCAAUCACUCAGUGAUUCUGAUCCAUGUUUCCUUCUACCCCACUUCCUUCCUCUCUGAAAUCAAUAAAAAAAAUUUUUAAGGACAAAAAUUCUGACAAUAGAAGUAGAGAUAAAGAAAG
Pipistrellus kuhlii (Kuhl's pipistrelle) is the source of this 675-nucleotide long non-coding RNA. RefSeq lists it as uncharacterized. The transcript has 2 exons. NCBI's taxonomy places the organism in Eukaryota, Metazoa, Chordata, Mammalia, Chiroptera, Vespertilionidae. The record is from RefSeq and is a predicted model, not a curated record.